GGCGAGAUGGCCGAGCGGUCUAAGGCGCUAGAAUCAGGCACUUGGAUCUAGUCAUUCGUGGCGUGGGUUCGAAUCCCACUCUCGUCA
This 87-nucleotide transfer RNA is filed under the name Lentinula edodes (shiitake mushroom). Its description in RNAcentral is "tRNA-Leu". It matches the Rfam family "tRNA". Rfam says of the family: Transfer RNA (tRNA) molecules are approximately 80 nucleotides in length. Lineage: Eukaryota; Fungi; Basidiomycota; Agaricomycetes; Agaricales; Omphalotaceae. The record is from RNAcentral.